AUUGAACGCUGGCGGAAUGCUUUACACAUGCAAGUCGAACGGCAGCACGGACUUCGGUCUGGUGGCGAGUGGCGAACGGGUGAGUAAUGUAUCGGAACGUGCCCAGUCGUGGGGGAUAACGUAGUGAAAAUUACGCUAAUACCGCAUACGAUCUAUGGAUGAAAGCGGGGGAUCGCAAGACCUCGCGCGAUUGGAGCGGCCGAUAUCAGAUUAGGUAGUUGGUGGGGUAAAGGCCCACCAAGCCAACGAUCUGUAGCUGGGCUGGAAGGACGACCAGCCACACUGGAACUGAGACACGGUCCAGACUCCUACGGGAGGCAGCAGUGGGGAAUUUUGGACAAUGGGCGAAAGCCUGAUCCAGCCAUUCCGCGUGCAGGAUGAAGGCCCUCGGGUUGUAAACUGCUUUUGUACAGAACGAAAAGGUUUCUACUAAUACUAGGAGCUCAUGACGGUACUGUAAGAAUAAGCACCGGCUAACUACGUGCCAGCCGCCGCGGUAA
This 500-nucleotide ribosomal RNA is filed under the name uncultured bacterium. RNAcentral's name for it is "partial 16S ribosomal RNA". It matches the Rfam family "Bacterial small subunit ribosomal RNA", at positions 30 to 523 of the family's 1533-position model. The record is from RNAcentral.